AUCUUCUCCUAGAAACCAACAAAUUAAAUAGCUGUGACCAUUUAUACCCUAGGAGUUCACGUGCAGUCCUCAGAGUGAUGCAGGAUUGCUAAAGCUCUGUCAGCAGCUGAGAAGCACAUCUUGGAGGAAUUCCCAUCAGUCACUCACCAUGGUGCACAUGUCUGCACUCAGACAGGAAGUCCAUUUACAUCUGCAGAACAGGAGGGGUUCAGGAGUAUCCCACACUGCCGACACUGUGACCUCAGAUCUCUGUAGCCAGAAGGAUGAGACAAUGAAGCUCUGCUGAAGCCAAUCUGUCCAGGGCACUUUGCUGUAACUAAUAGUCACAGAUGGUUAUGAGCUGCCACGUAGGUGCUGGAAACUGAACAUGGGUUCUCUGCAAGAGCAGCCGGUGCCCUUCACUGCUGAGCCAGCUGUCCGACCUCUCUGCACAUAAGCUUCAAAGAGAAAACUCCACAGCCACAUACUCACUUAUGGUUCAACCAGCCAGAAGAACUUAGACCAAUAUUUACCCAUCUUUGUCCUUUGGGAAGUAAAAGAAUGUUUUGAGAAGAGACGGCCUAGUUAAAUAAACGUAGAAGAGUGAAUUUAAACUCAGCUGAACAGAUUUACUAUUGAGCUUGCUUUAAUAUAAUCAUUGCAUGGGAUGUGUCUGAAACAGCAAGGACCAUGCCAAGAAUUACACCCGACUCCAAAUAGUAUUUGCAGCAACUUCCUCCCCAAAAAGACACGGAGGACCACUCCACCACAUGAUACAGUAUAUUUUACUUCAGAAAUCUUCUUCCAGCACAUACAUGACACUGCACUGUGAGCAACGCAAAUGGAUGUGGCGCACUGAGAUGUGUACAUGUGUCCUUGACUAUAACAGAGAACAUUGGGUUGAUGUUUAAACUGCAGCAGGCUCAUUAUGAUGGUGCAGCUUCCUUAUCAAUUUGGCUGGCUUUAGGAGACACACCUCUGGACCAGACCUUGACAGUAUACUCAGAGCAGUGUGACGGAAGAGAGAAAUGUAACUGAGGGCAGGAGAUCCACCCUACACAUAAGUGGCUCCACUCCAAGGCCUGGGAAACCAAAAUGUAGAAAGUCAGAGGAACACCAGUACUCAACUCUCUGCAGCCUGACUGCAGAAGCCAUGUGGCCAGCCAUAUGCAUGGCUGCACCACUCUGAGGGACUGUAUCCCCUCAAACAGUGAGCCAAAAUAAACCCAUAAGUUACCUCUUGCCAGGUGUUGGUGGUCACAGCAAUAAGGAAUACAGCAUACACCCCUACAUGUCUCCACUCACUAAAGUAUAACCAUACAAUGUCACAGCCCUCAGUCUCUGUCUACCCUAAGGACUAGUCUGGAGUCCAUGAACACCUGCAAUGUUAAAUGGCUUCACUAUAUCACAAAGCUCUCAGGUUACAAGGGCAAUGAUAUAUACCUGUGGAUUUAUUAGAUACACAAAGGAUACCAUGGCCCAAAAUCUAUUUUACAACAUUCUCUAUGGGCUAGCAUAGUAGUGAAAAUAACCUUGGCAAUAUAAUCAUAUAAAAGACAUGGAAUAUCUGCUUGCUGGAUUUGAAUUCAUUCCAAUUUAGAGAGAAAGAGCUCAAAAGCCACUAUUAAGGAAUGUUCGACUAUAGUCCCCUCCAGGAGGGAGACUAAUUUGAGCCCUUGAUUUUAGGGCAGCACUGAGACCUUGUGUCAGAAUCUAAAAGUAUUUUUUAAAACACAGGAAAAAGAAACCCACUAAUGUCCCAGAUUCCAUGAAACCUGUCCAAUUCCUCUGGUUCCCACUGGCCUUAUUUUGACCCUAUAUUCUGUAAUAUAAAAUACUAUUUCUCGACGGGCAUUGGUGGUGCACUCAUUUAGUCCCAGCACUUGGGAGGCAGAGGCAGGUGGAGCUCAGUGAGCUGGAGGCCAGUCUGGUCUACAAAGUAAGUUCCAACACAGCCAGGACUAUUACACAGAGAAACCCUGUCUGGGGAGGGAGGGGAGGAACUAUUUCUUAAAGAGUAAUCCAACAUACUACAGCAGAUCCAUGACAGAAUUUGAGAAGUACUAUACUUUGGGUAUAAUGUCCCCAAAAGGCCCAGAAGCUAAAUAAAGGUUUGUUCCCCAGCCUGUGGCAUUCCCGACAGAAACUAAAACAUAGGGCCUAGUGGAAGGAAGUUAAGUCACUGAAAAUAUGCCCUGAAAAGCCUUUUUCCUUCUUGUUUCCUAGAUGAGUUCAUUUGCUGUACUCCUUCCCUGACACUCUACCUCACCACAGAUCCAAAAUCAACAGAGCCAACCGCAAUGAAAACAAUGAACUAUGCCCCUUAUAAACUGUUCUCAAGAGCCCUGUUCACAGCAAUAGGAAGUCGUUAAUGAACACCCUAGGUGAUUAUGACUCCCACUAAAGUUCAAGGUCACUGUCUACAUAAAGCGAUGUUCAUUCCUGGUCCAGAGCAGUUAUUCUGCAGCGUAGGAAACACAGCAGAAUGGGCUCUCAAAACUUCCAAGUUCAGCCUUCAUCCUGAAGCCAAGCUGAUAACUUAACUCAGCCAAAAGAAAACAUUAAGGAGUCAGUUGCUGUAAGUUCCUCAGAUGAUCAUAACAGAGUUUCGAGAACUACUAUCACAACGUCGUCUCAGCAUUUCCUUUCCUUUAGCUCACAACACACUGUAAUGGCCUCCCAGAAACAAAGCUAUCACACUUGUACCAUGAACCCUCUGUGUUCACCUGUAUUUAAGCAUAAUAAAUCAUUCUGGUUGUACUA
Non-coding RNA from Cricetulus griseus (Chinese hamster), 2742 nucleotides. The record is from RefSeq and is a predicted model, not a curated record. Lineage: Eukaryota; Metazoa; Chordata; Mammalia; Rodentia; Cricetidae.